Molecule: ribosomal RNA, 460 nt
Filed under: uncultured bacterium
Lineage: Bacteria
Description: partial 16S ribosomal RNA
Rfam family: Bacterial small subunit ribosomal RNA
Source: RNAcentral
CCUACGGGGGGCAGCAGUGAGGAAUAUUGGUCAAUGGACGAGAGUCUGAACCAGCCAAGUAGCGUGAAGGAUGACUGCCCUAUGGGUUGUAAACUUCUUUUAUAUGGGAAUAAAAUGUUCCACGUGUGGGAUUUUGUAUGUACCAUAUGAAUAAGGAUCGGCUAACUCCGUGCCAGCAGCCGCGGUAAUACGGAGGAUCCGAGCGUUAUCCGGAUUUAUUGGGUUUAAAGGGAGCGUAGGUGGAUUGUUAAGUCAGUUGUGAAAGUUUGCGGCUCAACCGUAAAAUUGCAGUUGAAACUGGCAGUCUUGAGUACAGUAGAGGUGGGCGGAAUUCGUGGGGUAGCGGUGAAAUGCUUAGAUAGCACGAAGAACUCCGAUUGCGAAGGCAGUUCACUGGACUGCAACUGACACUGAGGCUCGAAAGUGUGGGUAUCAAACAGGAUUAGAUACCCCUGUAGUC